Molecule: ribosomal RNA, 207 nt
Filed under: uncultured bacterium
Lineage: Bacteria
Description: partial 16S ribosomal RNA
Rfam family: Bacterial small subunit ribosomal RNA
Source: RNAcentral
CGUGUAGGCGGACUCGCAAGUCGGUUGUGAAAUCCCUGGGCUCAACCUAGGAACUGCAUCCGAAACUGCUUGUCUUGAGUAAUGGAGAGGGUGGCGGAAUUCCCGGUGUAGAGGUGAAAUUCGUAGAUAUCGGGAGGAACAUCAGUGACGAAGGCGGCCACCUGGACAUUUACUGACGCUGAGACGCGAAAGCGUGGGGAGCAAACA